Molecule: long non-coding RNA, 721 nt
Filed under: Nicotiana tabacum (common tobacco)
Lineage: Eukaryota; Viridiplantae; Streptophyta; Magnoliopsida; Solanales; Solanaceae
Description: long non-coding RNA (NTAB_LNC017336)
Source: RNAcentral
CAGAUAAUACACACUAUGGGUUGUUUGUGAUCCCCAAUUAUUACUGAUGCUUGAAGCGGUACCUUUGUUUGCACCUGAAUACAGAUCCGUGCGUAUCUACCUCUUAAAGUAGCAGAGGUACACAUAUCUAUCUUUAGGAGUUUGCGAAUUCUUUUACCCACUUUUUCUAGAAUUUUAUUGUCAUAAAAUUUGGUGGGUAGACAUGGAUGUGACUUAUAUUUUUAUGUUAGCAGGAACAAAGUUGGGUUCCCAGUUCUGAACAGAUAGAAAAUGACCCAUGAUGAACCAUGAUCCUCCGUGUAGUGCACUGAUCAUAUUUUCUUCCUUCGCAAAUCUUACUAUAAAGAAGCCCUAUCCUAGAUCGAUAAGAAUGAACUGUUCCAUUGGGGUCCAGAGUUGUUGGAGCUUGGUCCGCAGGAGGUGGUGGGGGAUUUUUCUUCCAAACACCUUGAUGACAAACAAACAAUAACAACAUCCCAGUAUAGUCCCACAAGUCCAAUAUCAAGGAUCGAGAAUUUCCAUGGUUGGUGAAUUUUGAGUUUUUGCUCCUGCGACAGUGAGACCAUACUAAGGGGAAGGGGAUUUAAAAAUUAUAGAGAUUGGUUAGGCUUUCUCUCUCUAACACCUUCACGAACUGUGUUCCAUAUAUUUUCUUUGAACUUGGGGUUAGGGAUGUACUUUUUGUGACUAUAAAAGUAUCCCUUUAAAAAUAAAGUGAGAA